Molecule: ribosomal RNA, 485 nt
Filed under: uncultured Sphingobacteriales bacterium
Lineage: Bacteria; Pseudomonadati; Bacteroidota; Sphingobacteriia; Sphingobacteriales
Description: bacterial SSU rRNA
Rfam family: Bacterial small subunit ribosomal RNA
Source: RNAcentral
CAGAAACUUAAAUGAAUUGACGGGGCCCGCACAAGCGGAGGAGCAUGUGGUUAAUUCGAUGAUACGCGAGGAACUUACCUGGGCUCGAACGUAAGAUGACUGUAGGUGAAAGCUUACAUCUCUUCGGAGCAUUUUACGAGGUGCUGCAUGGUUGUCGUCAGCUCGUGCCGUGAGGUGUCGGGUUAAGUCCCAUAACGAGCGCAACCCCUACCUUUAGUUGCCAUCAGGUUAAGCUGGGGACUCUAAAGGAACUGCCUACGCAAGUAGUGAGGAAGGCGGGGAUGACGUCAAAUCAGCACGGCCCUUACGUCCAGGGCUACACACGUGCUACAAUGGCCGAUACAGAGGGCAGCUACCUGGUGACAGGAUGCAAAUCUCCAAAGUCGGUCUCAGUUCGGAUCGGAGUCUGCAACCCGACUCCGUGAAGUUGGAUUCGCUAGUAAUCGCGCAUCAGCCAUGGCGCGGUGAAUACGUUCCCGGGCCUU